RNAcentral lists this ribosomal RNA (254 nucleotides) under uncultured bacterium. Its description in RNAcentral is "partial 16S ribosomal RNA". It matches the Rfam family "Bacterial small subunit ribosomal RNA", at positions 524 to 776 of the family's 1533-position model. The record is from RNAcentral.
UACGUAGGGGGCAAGCGUUGUCCGGAAUCAUUGGGCGUAAAGAGCGUGUAGGCGGUCCGGUAAGUCGGCUGUGAAACCUCCAGGCUCAACCUGGAGACGCCAUCUGAUACUGCCGUGGCCUGAGUCCGGUAGAGGAGCAGGGAAUUCCUGGUGUAGCGGUGAAAUGCGCAGAUAUCAGGAGGAACACCAGCGGCGAAGGCGCUGCUCUGGGCCGGUACUGACGCUGAGGAGCGAAAGCGUGGGGAGCGAACAGG